UCUUUCCCAGGAACAGUCAAAAGGAAACACUUAACGAACAAUGGAUCUUGGAAGACUCCAAUCCACAUAAGAAGUCUACUUGAGGACGUUCAAAGUAGCAUGUGAACCAUGGCUACUACCUCUGGCUCAAGAGAUAGCCUCUCCACCCCCAAGGAUACCUGAAAGAAACUGGAACAAAGGACAGUAACUACAGGAGGUGUGAGUGAUUGCUGGACCCAGACUAGAAGGAGACUAGUCUGUAAAAGGAAGCUUACCGGAACACCUCUGAGGAUUUUUCCAUCUUCUACAGCAUGUGAAAGAAACAGGUCAACAUAUGGAAAUAUACACACACAAUCAAGGCUAAUGUGAAAAAGUUGAGAAGUCUAUUUCAAUUUGGACAAAUCUUCAGUUUAAUGAAAAGUCCAGAAUCAGAAGUUGUGGAUCUUUCAGACAAAUGGAUUUUGAUUAGAGAAGUCACAAGGAAAAACUUGAGCUAUGCUAGCACUUACAAGAUAUUAGUAACCAAGCUGUUUAAGUAUUAGUAUAAUUCGUUACUUAUAGGAUGGCUUGCUUUGCCUACUAUCAUGACACUUAUUCAAUAUAUGAUGAUAAUGCACUAUUAAAGAGUCUGAUGUUUACUUUAAAGUUUGGAUAUAUACCCAAAUUUACUGUUGGUCCUUACUAUUGUCCUGUGUUAACUACAUUAUAAUGAAUAUGCAUAAGGAUGGUCUUUUCCUGAGCUUUUUCUGUAGAGGCAAGAGUUUCUUCUGAAUCUGCAUUGGAACAUCAGGUCUCUAUGUACGUACUAUUUCAGAGUUCUACAGAGAUAGCCUUCCUUUUUGUAUAUCAGUCAACAAUAUUGAUACUUUCUACUUUCAACAUUUUCCCCUAUUUUAGAGAUGCAUCAACAGGGGGAAAAAAUACAUUUAAGUACCUUAGGAUGCGGCUCCAUCUCUAAUACUAAAUAUCUUUGUCAUUAUUCAAAGUAAGGAAUUUAUACUUAUUUCAUAAAUAUACCUAGCAGUGCUUUCUAUGUGUUAACUAACUUAUAAAUAAUACAUCUCAUUCUUAAAGAAGUAAAUAAAGUUUAGUUUUGAGAAGCAAGUA
Long non-coding RNA from Emys orbicularis (European pond turtle), 1086 nucleotides. RefSeq lists it as uncharacterized. The transcript is spliced from 4 exons. NCBI's taxonomy places the organism in Eukaryota, Metazoa, Chordata, Testudines, Emydidae. The record is from RefSeq and is a predicted model, not a curated record.